Long non-coding RNA from Mus spicilegus (steppe mouse), 544 nucleotides. Lineage: Eukaryota; Metazoa; Chordata; Mammalia; Rodentia; Muridae. The record is from Ensembl.
CUUCGGGAGUAGACUUUUCUUCCUGAGUCACAGAUGAAGGAAAGACAACAGAAACUUCUGAGAGAAUAGAGAGACAGGCUGAGGAAAGCAAGAGAGUCUCAAUGUGCUGCUAAGUGUGAUCAGACAACAAUGGAAAAUAUCACAGCCAUUCACAUGAACAAGCAAUGAAUGCCACAUUUUCUCCUGCUUCAAGUCAAGCCACAAGCAUGGCGUCGCUUCACUGUUGGAAACAGCAUGGAAACAUGGAAUAUGCAGUGCUACCGCACUGUGCCUCCUCACUGCUGCAGCCUGAGUCAUUCAGAAGUCGCUGCAAACAGGAUGGGAGCCCACACCAGUGCCAUCACAGCUUCUGUCUCUUAAGUCUGACAGCAGGAAGUAUGAGAUCAUUGCUGCAGCUCAGGUUCGCAUGCCUUGAUAGAGGACUGGCCUCCACACCAGGUAUGGAGCGCAUGCUACAUCUUUAAAUUAUUUAUAUUUCAGAGGAAAGAAUAUGUUGCGUGAUUUAUGGACUCGUGGUUAAAUCCCACUCUGCCAAACUAGCUGC